Molecule: non-coding RNA, 3300 nt
Organism: Elaeis guineensis (African oil palm)
Lineage: Eukaryota; Viridiplantae; Streptophyta; Magnoliopsida; Arecales; Arecaceae
Source: RefSeq, a predicted model, not a curated record
AAAUAUGAUUUCGUUAGUAACAGAUCAAUUGCAUACAAAACAUGAUAAUUUAAAAAUAAAUAAGGAGCAUGAGAUCCAUUUACCUUGUUUGCCCUAGAUCUUCAGACUUCGUUAAAAAAAAUCAUAUUAUCCUAUUUAAAAUAUUAAAUCAUAAUCAAUUUUUUUUCAAUUAAUUAAAUAAUAAUAACAUUAGGCCGUUGACCAGAUGAUUGGUCUGAUAGACUAUCUGAGUAUCAAAGCUAUUCGAGAUUGUCUUGCUUGGGUCAAUUUGGAUCCUUAGAAGAGAAAGGGGGGACUCUAUCUUGAGUGCAUAAGUCUUUUUAGAGAGAGAAAGUGGAGAGAAUCGUCGUAUACCGUAAAAGAGAAAAUUAUGAUCGAGAUCAUCAAGGGUCAUGCUAGGGUAACUUGGUGGGGAUUAAUGGUGAUCAGAUCUAUGAAUAUCUGACGAGGAUCGGGUUGGGAUCCGACAUAUUGCAUGGAUAUCAAAGCAAUUUCGGGCUUCCUUUUUAAAAGAAUUCCUUGGUCCAUAAUAGGGGAGCACGACAACAAAUAUUGGGGUUCAUGGAUCAAAUAGAGAGUGUUAGAGAGCAUAUUUAACAUGUAUCUUUUGACAUAUGUUAUUUCCUAUUAUUUCUUUAUGUUUAUAGUUUAUCUAUUUCUGUCUUAUUCUAAUUAGACUUUUUCUUAUUGUAUUUUUUUAAUAAGGUUUUCUUUCUUUAGAAAAAUUCUAUUUCUGUAUACUCCUAUGUAUAGGAGUACAAAAUCAUGGAAUAUAAUAUAUUAAUUUUCUCUCAUUUUUUGUUUUAUGGUAUCAGAGCUUAGAGUUCUCUAAGUAAGAUCCACCACCAUCUCUUCUCCUAUCACCUUCUCUACUCGUACAUCGGCCUCUCCUCUCUUUUCUCUCCUUUCUUGUUCUUCUUUUUGUGUUGAUCUAGACAGAGGAACUUCCUUUACUAAAUGACUUUAAGGGGGAGGAGUCGCUUCUUUCUCCUUUUCCGUCUACUGGGAUCGGGUCUAUGGCUCGUCGCAUAAAUAUGUUCUGCGGCUUGCCAUCAGUUUAAGUAUCUUCUGUGCCUGCCUAUAUGUGAUGAUUUUGAACUACCGAAUCUACCACAUUGACUGUUUGCCUUCAUACUAAUUUGAUGGUUGAUACUACUCCAAUGAUGCCUUCAACUGUUGGAUCUUUGCCUCCCUCAUAUUUGCAAAGUCUUACCACAAUUAAACUUAAUGGUAAAAACUAUCUUGUAUGGGCUCGAGCAUUCAAGAAGUUUGUUAGUGCAUAUGGCAAGCUCCACAUUUUGAUUGAUGAUCCAAUUCUUUUUAAUGAUGUGAAGUAUAAAGAUUGGCUCACGGAGGAUUCAUGUGUUUACAUUUGGUUGUUGAACAGCAUGGAGUCGGAUGUUAGUGCUAAUGUGGUGUUUCUAAACACUGCUAAAGAAAUUUGAUGCUCUUAAGGAGAUGUAUUCUUAUGGCAAGAAUUUAUCUAGAGUAUUUGAGUUGUCUUAGCAACUAUUUUUCUUAUGCUAUACUGGUGGAUCCUUGGUCAACUUUUAUGCCAAGUUCAAAGGGCUCUGGAACGAGCUCAAUAUCUAUCAGCCAUCAACUACAGAUGUAAGUGUAAUAAAAUAGCAAAGCGAGGAGUUCCAAGUGGUUCAAUUUUUGGUUGCCCUUCCUCCUGAGUAUGCUCUUGUUCGUAAUCAGAUUCUUGAUAGUGACUCCUUGCUUUUCCUAUAUUCUAUUUUUUCUUGUCUUCAAUCAGUUUUGGCUCCACUUUCAAAAUCUAAAACUACUUUUGUUGAGUUUUCGACACUUAUUGCUGGUAGUCAUGGUCGCAAUUCCUCGUCCGACCACAGUCGUGGACGUGGCCAAAGAGAAAACCGUGGUCGUGGGACUAGUUCCAGUGGAUGAAAAUGUACUUACUGUGGCCGCACUAAUCAUGUGGAGGAAAAGUGUUGGGAGAAGCAUGGUAAGUCCGAUUGGGCUAACCAAGUUAUUGCUCCAGAGUUGGGGGGAGCUGAGACUACUGUUGCACCCACUAAAAUCGCUUUUGAUACUUUAAUUAUUUCUCGGACGAACUUGGAGCAAUUGGUCCGCCGGACGAUUCAACUGUCUUCUGCUUCUUCUUCCUCGACUCCUCUCGUAGCAUCCUUUGCCUCAGGUAUCACUGCUCUCUUGUCUGCCACUUGAUUUGCGCCUUCCUCUUGGGUCAUUGAUUUAGGUGCUACAUCGCAUAUGUGAGGAUCUCUUGACGAAAAAGAAGAUUGGUGGGGGCCAUGAAGGUGCUGAUGGCCUGUAUUAUUUGGAUGUACCAAGAUCGAGAGCUUUUCAUUUGUAGCAUGUCCUCAGCAAUCAUACUAUCAGCUUGGGCAUCCAUCUCUUCAAAAACUCACAACACGGAUAGUCCUAGUGGUGCAUCUCAGACAAAGCCUUCUAACUUGGAAAAAGUGGUGCAUCAUAGAUCUUCUACUUUAAAAGACAGAUAUGCAAUUACCUUUGGCUUAUGAUCGUUAUAUGAAUGCUCCGGAAACUAAGGCAGUGCCUCCAAUUAUAGGGGAUUAUAUUGAAUGGUUUAAAUGAAAUCAAAGUAUUGAAGAUGGUGAUUCUUUCUGAAAAGUCAGUCGAAUGCACGGAUCGAUGUUGAGCUUGUAGACUUUAAGGCAACCUGCAUACACCUACAGCUUCUAGAGUUUAAAGAGUCAUUAUUUUUUUUGGGCAUUUGCUUUGCUCUCUAUAAUAGUGUUUAAUGGCUUGAGCUCUUAUGCAGGUGAGGAAGUAGUCUUAUUUCAUAUUGGAUCUUUUCAGAAAGAGAUGGCAAAGGGCUAUCACAUAGGACAAGUGCUGGAUCGACCCAUACCCUGAACCCUCAAAGAACUCAAGUCAAUAGUGCAGAUUUUUGUGUUUUUCCUUUUAGAACUUUCUCAACAUCCUUUGUGAAGUUUAUCUCAAUUCAUACAGUAUGAAGUUAAUCUCAAUUCAUACACUGGUGUUCCAUCCAAUCAGGGAACCACAGGGCACCCGUUAAGUACAUAGAUACUAUCUACAGGCUGGCAUAUAGGGAUUGUUAGUGUCUGAAAUUUUCAGUAGAGCAGACAUCUACAAGUAUGAAGUUCCUGAGAUCUACACCUAGAAGGCUAGAAUACAUAAGCAAAGAAUGUAAUAAUAUUUUUCAUUCUUUUUUAAUAACAGCAAAUAUAUCUUGGAAAGUUGUGGAAUGUUGCUUUGUACAUUCCGUUGUAUUUUUAAAACAUUGUUUAACAUAACUUUGUUUAUGAUGUCUUAAAGUAACUUCAAUUUUGAGCA